AUUGAACGCUGGCGGCAGGCCUAACACAUGCAAGUCGAGCGGCAGCGGAAAGUAGCUUGCUACUUUGCCGGCGAGCGGCGGACGGGUGAGUAAUGUCUGGGAAACUGCCUGACGGAGGGGGAUAACUACUGGAAACGGUAGCUAAUACCGCAUAACGUCGCAAGACCAAAGAGGGGGACCUUCGGGCCUCUUGCCAUCAGAUGUGCCCAGAUGGGAUUAGCUAGUAGGUGGGGUAAUGGCUCACCUAGGCGACGAUCCCUAGCUGGUCUGAGAGGAUGACCAGCCUCACUGGAACUGAGACACGGUCCAGACUCCUACGGGAGGCAGCAGUGGGGAAUAUUGCACAAUGGGCGCAAGCCUGAUGCAGCCAUGCCGCGUGUAUGAAGAAGGCCUUCGGGUUGUAAAGUACUUUCAGUGGGGAGGAAGGUGUUGAGGUUAAUAACCUCAGCAAUUGACGUUACCCGCAGAAGAAGCACCGGCUAACUCCGUGCCAGCCGCCGCAGUAA
Molecule: ribosomal RNA, 506 nt
Filed under: uncultured bacterium
Lineage: Bacteria
Description: partial 16S ribosomal RNA
Rfam family: Bacterial small subunit ribosomal RNA
Source: RNAcentral